AUCGCUUCUCGGCCUUUUGGCUAAGAUCAAGUGUAAAAAUUGUCCAUUGAAUUUUAUUAUUUUCUUUAUAAGGUCUUAAUUUUAAAGAGUUGUUAAUAAAGAUCUAAACUGGAUGGUUCCAGGUAAUGUCUGUAAAUGCUGUCCUGACACUCCAGAGGGGCAGGCCAGGUAUGCUGUAG
Molecule: small nuclear RNA, 179 nt
Filed under: Suricata suricatta (meerkat)
Lineage: Eukaryota; Metazoa; Chordata; Mammalia; Carnivora; Herpestidae
Description: U2 spliceosomal RNA (ENSSSUG00005019555.1)
Rfam family: U2 spliceosomal RNA
About the family: U2 is a small nuclear RNA (snRNA) component of the spliceosome (involved in pre-mRNA splicing).
Source: Rfam by way of RNAcentral